GUUCCUUCUCAUCCCACUUUUCCUUUUCAUUAUACCCGUCGUCGACGUGUUAUGGAUGAAUCUACUGACGUGCCAUCUACUUCUGGUGCACCGUCUUCCUCGUCCCAGCCGACUUAUGGUCUUCGGGCUCGACCUUGCCCUCCUCCUAAACGCUAUUCUCCUAGCCGAUAUGGCCUUUCGGUUGUACUUGAGCCUACCUCUUAUCGUGAUGCUGUUGUUCAUCCUGAAUGGCAGUUUGCGAUGGCAGAGGAGAUUGCCGCACUUGAGCGCAACGGCACAUGGGAUCUGGUUUCUCUUCCUUCCCGUGUUCGUCCCAUCACUUGUAAGUGGGUCUAUAAGAUUAAGACUCGCUCUGAUGGUUCUCUUGAGCGUUAUAAAGCUCGUCUU
This 387-nucleotide ribosomal RNA is filed under the name Triticum aestivum (bread wheat). Its description in RNAcentral is "partial small subunit ribosomal RNA". The record is from RNAcentral. Lineage: Eukaryota; Viridiplantae; Streptophyta; Magnoliopsida; Poales; Poaceae.